This is a long non-coding RNA of Gossypium raimondii (Peruvian cotton), 422 nucleotides long. RefSeq lists it as uncharacterized. Lineage: Eukaryota; Viridiplantae; Streptophyta; Magnoliopsida; Malvales; Malvaceae. The record is from RefSeq and is a predicted model, not a curated record. The transcript has 2 exons.
UUAUCAUAUAACUAACUCUUUGUUUCAUCUCUCGAUAGCUUUCAUUUUUAACUAUGGCUUCUUUCGGCGUGGUUUCUCUUUUUGCAGUUUUGCUUGUGGCUUUUUGUGUAUCAAACUCAGAAGCAUGCACUCGUGACAUAGACUGUUUGGGCCAGUGUAAACAUGGUGGUUUUUGUGACUUGACAACUAAAAAAUGUAGUUGCUUGCCGGUGUCGGGGCAGCUACCAUCUAACAUUGCAGCAACAGUGGAUGCUAUGCAACGAUGAAAAAAACUGCAAAGGAUUGCCCACCAGCUUGUUAAGCCCAUAACAUUCAAGCUUGUUAAGCCUUUCAACAAUGUCAUAUAUCAUAAGAUAAACUUUGUAUCCAAAAAAUUUGCAAAUAAAUGAUUAGUGAAUAAAAAGGUUGUUAAAGAGAAUUAA